GGUGCUGUAUAUUGCUGUGGGCUGCUGUGUAUUGCCGUGUGUCCUGUCAGAUAAACCCCCGCCUUCACGCACUUCGUCGCGGGAGGACAAGGAGACUGCUGGUCCUAGCCUAGUUCAGUAUAGUAUAUGUUGUGAGCGUGCUUCAGAUCUCCGGAGAUAGCACAGUACGCUGUGUCCAGCCCAGAGGUGAAAGCCAUCCAAAGCAGAGUAACUGUGCUUUGCGUCCAAGUUGAUACCUGUGGAGAGGAAAGGAAAGAGAGAGUGAGUAACACAAGGAGAAACAGAGCGAACCCUGUACUUACAGUACGCUGUGUCCAGCCCAGAGGUGAGAGCCAUUCAAAGCAAACUAACUGUGCUAUUGUGCCCAAGUUGAUACCUGUGGAGAGAAAAGGAGAGAGAGUGGGUAACACGAGGAGAGAUCGAGGAAACCUGUACUUACGCCGCUGCCUGUGGAGAGAAAAGGAAAGAGAGAGUGAGUAACACAAGGAGAAACAGAGGAAACCUGUACUUACAGUACGCUGUGUUCAGCCCAGAGGUGAGAGCCAUUCAAAGCAAACUAACUGUGCUAUUGUGCCCAAGUUGAUACCUGUGGAGAGAAAAAGGAGAGAGAGUGGGUAACACGAGGAGAGAUCGAGGAAACCUGUACUUACGCCGCUGCCUGUGGAGAGAAAAGGAAAGAGAGAGUGAGUAACACAAGGAGAAACAGAGGAAACCUGUACUUACAGUACGCUGUGUUCAGCCCAGAGGUGAGAGCCAUUCAAAGCAAACUAACUGUGCUAGUGUGCCCAAGUUGAUGCCUGUGGAGAGAAAAAGGAGAGAGAGUGGGUAACACGAGGAGAGACCGAGGAAACCUGUACUUACGCCGCUGCCUGUGGAGAAAGAGAAAGCGAGUGAGCACCCAAGGAACGAACUGUGUGAACCAGUACUUACUGUGAGCUGUAAUCAGCGAAGAG
This is a long non-coding RNA of Cyprinus carpio carpio, 953 nucleotides long. The record is from Ensembl. Lineage: Eukaryota; Metazoa; Chordata; Actinopteri; Cypriniformes; Cyprinidae.